GUGCUCCCUUCGGCAGCACAUGUACUAACAUUGGAAUGAUGCGGAGAAGAUUCGCAUGGCUGCUAUGCAAGGAUAAUGUAUAAAAUUUUUAUGUGAAAGUGAUACAA
This is a small nuclear RNA of Neomonachus schauinslandi (Hawaiian monk seal), 107 nucleotides long. Lineage: Eukaryota; Metazoa; Chordata; Mammalia; Carnivora; Phocidae. The record is from RefSeq and is a predicted model, not a curated record.